Molecule: ribosomal RNA, 460 nt
Filed under: uncultured bacterium
Lineage: Bacteria
Description: partial 16S ribosomal RNA
Rfam family: Bacterial small subunit ribosomal RNA
Source: RNAcentral
CCUACGGGAGGCAGCAGUGAGGAAUAUUGGUCAAUGGACGGAAGUGUGAACCAGCCAUGCCGCGUGCAGGAAGACGGCUCUAUGAGUUGUAAACUGCUUUUGUACAAGGGUAAACCUGAAUACGUGUAUUCAGCUGAAAGUACUGUACGAAUAAGGAUCGGCUAACUCCGUGCCAGCAGCCGCGGUAAUACGGAGGAUCCAAGCGUUAUCCGGAUUUAUUGGGUUUAAAGGGUGCGUAGGCGGUUUGAUAAGUUAGAGGUGAAAUGUCCGGGCUUAACUCGGGAACUGCCUCUAAUACUGUUGAUCUAGAGAGUAGGUGCGGUAGGCGGAAUGUAUGGUGUAGCGGUGAAAUGCUUAGAGAUCAUGCAGAACACCGAUUGCGAAGGCAGCUUACCAAUCUAUCUCUGACGUUGAGGCACGAAAGCGUGGGGAGCGAACAGGAUUAGAUACCCGGGUAGUC